GAUGAACGCUGGCGGCGUGCCUAAUACAUGCAAGUCGAGCGAACGGACGAGAAGCUUGCUUCUCCGAUGUUAUCGGCGGACGGGAGAGUAACACGUGGAUAACCUACCUAUAAGACUGGGAUAACUUCGGGAAACCGGAGCUAAUACCGGAUAAUAUUUUGAACCGAAUGGUUCAAAAGUGAAAGACGGUCUUGCUGUCACUUAUAGAUGGAUCCGCGCUGCAUUAGCUAGUUGGUAAGGUAACGGCUUACCAAGACAACGAUGGAUAGCAGACCUGAGAGGGUGGUCGGCCACAGUGGAUCUACGACACGGUCCACACUCCUACGAGAAGAAGCAGUCGGGUAUCCUCCGCGCUGGGCGAAUGCCUAACGCCGCACCGCCGCGUCAAUAGUGAGGGUCCUAGGAUCGUCGACCUCUGUUAUUACGAGCGAAAACAUAUGUACGUAACUGUACACAUCUUGACGGCACCUAAACAGAACGCCACGGCUAACUUCGUG
Molecule: ribosomal RNA, 497 nt
Filed under: uncultured bacterium
Lineage: Bacteria
Description: partial 16S ribosomal RNA
Rfam family: Bacterial small subunit ribosomal RNA
Source: RNAcentral